UACGUAGGGGGCAAGCGUUGUCCGGAUUUAUUGGGCGUAAAGAGCGUGUAGGCGGCCGUACAGGUCAGCUGUGAAAACUCGAGGCUCAACCUCGAGACGUCGGUUGAAACCGUACGGCUAGAGUCCGGAAGAGGAGAGUGGAAUUCCCGGUGUAGCGGUGAAAUGCGCAGAUAUCGGGAAGAACACCCGUGGCGAAAGCGGCUUCCUGGUCCGACACCGACGUUCAGGCACGAAAGUGUGGGGAGCAAACAGG
RNAcentral lists this ribosomal RNA (253 nucleotides) under uncultured bacterium. RNAcentral's name for it is "partial 16S ribosomal RNA". It matches the Rfam family "Bacterial small subunit ribosomal RNA", at positions 524 to 776 of the family's 1533-position model. The record is from RNAcentral.